UUCCACUCGCAUGUUUCCCUAUGCGCGAGUUACCUAGUGCGAGGUACGCUGGCGCGGUUCCAUCGUAAUCUCCCGGCAUCAAAAGGCAAAACCUCCAUUUUUAUGGAGAUUCAAAGCCCUUCUCCCCCUGGCAGCAGCAGAACCGUUGAUCAGUCGAUGAAAUCUAAGAUUUUAGGGUAAGAGAAAAUGAGUCGCGGAAGCAGCUCGUGGAAGCGAUCGGAACUCCUCUUUCUCGUUAUCUACGCCAUCUGUUUCUACGCUCUGAUCAUCUACCGAUCUCUCCAACUCACUCGUGAACAUUCCGGAAGACUCACCGGUCUGCGGCGUGGAUGGAUGUGGAAUCGGUUGAAUGACCUUUCUGAUGCCCAAUGGAGGAACUUCCGUGGAAAUUUACCAAUUCUUACCCUUGUUAUGGGCAUGUUUACCCUUGUGGCAACUACCUUGAGGUCUCAAUAUCAUCUAAAAGGGAGGGGGAUGUCUGUUAUUUGGUUAUUGGUUUCUUUGAGUUAUUUAUUGUAUCUACAUGGAGCUUGUGUCAUGUUUGUCCUUUCAAUAGCUUCAAUGAACUUUGUUCUUGUAAAGAUAUUUGCACAAUCAAAGUAUUUCUCAUGCUUACUUUGGAUGUUCAACAUAUUUUUUCUUAUAUGGAAUCGAAUAUAUGAAGGGUAUUCUUUCCGCACAAUCGGGCAAAGUUGGGCUUUCUUGGACAACUAUCGUGGUACUUUUAGAUGGCAUAUUUGCUUUAACUUUGUUAUUUUACGCAUGAUAAGCUUUGGUUAUGAUUACCAUUGGGCACAUCAAGACUCUCGUUUUGACCAAGAGAAACACAUGCAGCGUUGCCGCAUUUGUUCUUCUGGAAAGACGUGUUACCUUUCUUUACAGGAGAGAAGCAUUCACACCGACAAAUUCUCAUUUAGUAUGUACCUGUGUUACUUGGUAUAUGCUCCUCUUUACAUUGCAGGACCAAUUGUGAGCUUCAAUGCAUUUGCUUCUCAGCUAGAUAUGCCUCAGAGGAAUCAUUCUAUUGGACAAAUUGCUUGGUAUGGAUUUCGAUGGGUUCUUAGUCUUUUUCUCAUGGAAGUAAUGACCCAUUUCUUCUGUUAUAAUGCGUUUACAAUCAGCGGUUUGUGGAGAGAAUUUUCUCCUUUUGAGGUCUUUAUCAUUGGAUAUGGGGUAUUGAACUUCAUGUGGUUAAAGUUCUUUCUGAUUUGGCGCUAUUUUCGAUUUUGGUCAUUGGUAGGAGGUGUUGAUGUUCCUGAGAAUAUGCCUAGGUGCAUCAACAACUGCUAUGACUUGGAAAGCUUCUGGAAAAAUUGGCAUGCAUCUUUCAACAAAUGGCUUGUCAGGUACUUGUACAUUCCUCUUGGGGGUUCUCGGAAAAAGCUACUCAAUGUUUGGGUCAUAUUCACAUUCGUAGCAGUAUGGCAUGAUUUAGAAUGGAGGCUUCUUUCAUGGGCGUGGUUAACAUGUUUAUUUUUUAUCCCUGAAAUGAUAGUGAAGUCAGCUGUUAGUGCACUCAAGGCUAAGAGUGCCAUCCAUGAGUUCAUUCUUCGUGAACUAGGUGCAGUGGCAGGUGCUAUUACAAUUACAAGCCUCAUGGUAGCCAACCUUGUCGGUUAUGUUAUUGGACCGUCGGGCAUAAAUUGGUUGAUUUCGAGAUUGCUACACAGAGAUGGACUUCCUGUACUUGGUGGCAUCUUCACAACAUUUUAUGUAGGGACAAAGCUAAUGUUCCAUAUUCAAGAUACCAAGAAAAACCUUCAGUGAUUUUAGAGGGCCAUCCAGGAUCAAUACUCAUUCUGUCUCCCCAGUCAGGUAGGGUGCAACAUAAAUUUGAUUUUUCCCCAUUGAUUGGAUGUUUAGAGAGUCAACAACGGCAGCAAGCUGGUAACCGACACCUAAUUUUUUUCAGAUAGAGAAAUUGGUAAUGAAAAUUUCCCAAAUAUUGCCAUUUUACAUUAUGGGGAAUAGAAUGCAGCACAAGUAGAAUUCAACAAUUGAAAUAUUCAACUUUCGGCAAUCUCUAAGUGUGAGGAGUUGGCAUUGAAUUCAAAUGGUAGUAACUAAAGGGUAUAGACUAGUUUUUAACAGGUAACCAAUCUGUAUUUGUUCAUCGCAA
Molecule: RNA transcript, 2119 nt
Organism: Magnolia sinica
Lineage: Eukaryota; Viridiplantae; Streptophyta; Magnoliopsida; Magnoliales; Magnoliaceae
Gene name: membrane-bound O-acyltransferase gup1
Exons: 20
Source: RefSeq, a predicted model, not a curated record